This 259-nucleotide ribosomal RNA is filed under the name uncultured bacterium. RNAcentral's name for it is "partial 16S ribosomal RNA". It matches the Rfam family "Bacterial small subunit ribosomal RNA", at positions 96 to 354 of the family's 1533-position model. The record is from RNAcentral.
UGGCGGACGGGUGAGUAACGCGUGGAAAACCUGCCGUAUACUGGGGGAUAACACUUAGAAAUAGGUGCUAAUACCGCAUAAGCGCACAGCUUCGCAUGAAGCGGUGUGAAAAACUCUGGUGGUAUACGAUGGUUCCGCGUCUGAUUAGCUAGUUGGUGGGGUAAUGGCCUACCAAGGCAACGAUCAGUAGCCGGCCUGAGAGGGUGAACGGCCCACAUUGGGACUGAGACACGGCCCAAACUCCUACGGGAGGCAGCAG